RNAcentral lists this ribosomal RNA (619 nucleotides) under uncultured bacterium. RNAcentral's name for it is "bacterial SSU rRNA". The stretch from base 1 to 520 matches the Rfam family "Bacterial small subunit ribosomal RNA", at positions 338 to 873 of the family's 1533-position model. The record is from RNAcentral.
CCUACGGGAGGCGGCAGUGGGGAAUAUUGGGCAAUGGAGGAAACUCUGACCCAGCGACGCCGCGUGCGGGAUGAAGGCCUUCGGGUUGUAAACCGCUUUCAGCAGGGAAGAAGCGAAAGUGACGGUACCUGCAGAAGAAGCACCGGCUAACUAUGUGCCAGCAGCCGCGGUAAUACAUAGGGUGCAAGCGUUGUCCGGAAUUAUUGGGCGUAAAGAGCUCGUAGGUGGUUCGUCACGUCGGAUGUGAAAAUCUGGGGCUUAACCCCAGACCUGCAUUCGAUACGGGCGAGCUUGAGUAUGGUAGGGGAGUCUGGAAUUCCUGGUGUAGCGGUGGAAUGCGCAGAUAUCAGGAGGAACACCAAUGGCGAAGGCAGGACUCUGGGCCAUUACUGACACUGAGGAGCGAAAGCGUGGGGAGCGAACAGGAUUAGAUACCCUGGUAGUCCACGCCGUAAACGGUGGGCACUAGUUGUGGGGACCUUCCACGGUCUCUGCGACGCNGCUACGCAUAGUGCCCGCCGUCGGGAGGUACGAGUCGCGAGAAGUUAAACGUUAACGUAAAGUUAAAGUUAGUACGGUUCGUUGAGACGUUGCCGACGGACGACGACGAGGGAGGAGG